This 253-nucleotide ribosomal RNA is filed under the name uncultured bacterium. Its description in RNAcentral is "partial 16S ribosomal RNA". It matches the Rfam family "Bacterial small subunit ribosomal RNA", at positions 524 to 776 of the family's 1533-position model. The record is from RNAcentral.
UACAGAGGUGGCAAGCGUUGUUCGGAAUUACUGGGCGUAAAGGGCGCGUAGGCGGUCUUUUAAGUCUUGUGUGAAAUCCCUCGGCUCAACUGAGGAACUGCACGGGAUACUGGAAGACUUGAGUUCGGGAGAGGGAAGCGGAAUUCCGGGUGUAGCGGUGAAAUGCGUAGAUAUCGUAAGGAAGACCAGUGGCGAAGGCGAGUCUCUGGACAGUUACUGACGCUGAGGCACGAAGGCCAGGGGAGCAAACGGG